Molecule: ribosomal RNA, 280 nt
Filed under: uncultured Anaerolineaceae bacterium
Lineage: Bacteria; Bacillati; Chloroflexota; Anaerolineae; Anaerolineales; Anaerolineaceae
Description: partial 16S ribosomal RNA
Rfam family: Bacterial small subunit ribosomal RNA
Source: RNAcentral
AGUAUGGCUGUCGUCAGCUCGUGCCGUGAGGUGUUGGGUUAAGUCCCGCAACGAGCGCAACCCCUGUCGUCGGUUGUAGAUGUCCGACGAGACUGCCACGAUCAACGUGGAGGAAGGCGGGGAUGACGUCAAGUCAGCACGGCCCUGACAUCCUGGGCGACACACACGCUACAAUGGCCGGGACAAAGAGUAGCCAACCCGCGAGGGGGAGCCAAUCUCAGAAAGCCGGUCUCAGUUCAGAUUGCAGGCUGCAACCCGCCUGCAUGAAGGAGGAGUGCUA